Molecule: unclassified non-coding RNA, 343 nt
Filed under: soil metagenome
Description: partial contains 5.8S ribosomal RNA, internal transcribed spacer 2, and large subunit ribosomal RNA
Rfam family: 5.8S ribosomal RNA (bases 1-120)
Source: RNAcentral
GAUGAAGAACGCAGUGAAACGCGAUAAGUAAUGUGAAUUGCAGAAUCCAGUGAAUCAUCGAAUCUUUGAACGCACAUUGCGCCCGCCAGCAUUCUGGCGGGCAUGCCUGUUCGAGCGUCAUUUCAACCCUCGACCUCCCCUUGGGGAGGUCGGCGUUGGGGACCGGCAGCACACCGCCGGCCCUGAAAUGGAGUGGCGGCCCGUCCGCGGCGACCUCUGCACAGUAAUACAGCUCGCACCGGGACCCCGACGCGGCCACGCCGUAAAACACCCAACUUCUGAACGUUGACCUCGAAUCAGGUAGGACUACCCGCUGAACUUAAGCAUAUCAAUAAGCGGAGGA